GAUGAACGCUGGCGGCGUGCCUAAUACAUGCAAGUCGAGCGAACGGACGAGAAGCUUGCUUCUCUGAUGUUAGCGGCGGACGGGUGAGUAACACGUGGAUAACCUACCUAUAAGACUGGGAUAACUUCGGGAAACCGGAGCUAACACCGGAUAAUAUUUUGAACGGCAUGGUUCAACAGUGAAAGAGGGUCUUGCUGUCACUUAUAGAUGGAUCCGCGCUGCAUUAGCUAGUUGGUAAGGUAACGGCUUACCAAGGCAACGAUGCAUAGCUGACCUGAGAGGGUGAUCGGCCACACUGGAACUGAGACACGGUCCAGACUCCUACGGGAGGCAGCAGUGGGGAAUCUUCCGCAAUGGGCGAAAGCCUGACGGAGCAACGCCGCGUGAGUGAUGAAGGUCUUCGGAUCGUAAAACUCUGUUAUUAGGGAAGAACAUAUGUGUAAGUAACUGUGCACAUCUUGACGGUACCUAAUCAGAAAGCCCCGGCUAACUACGUG
Molecule: ribosomal RNA, 497 nt
Filed under: uncultured bacterium
Lineage: Bacteria
Description: partial 16S ribosomal RNA
Rfam family: Bacterial small subunit ribosomal RNA
Source: RNAcentral